RNAcentral lists this ribosomal RNA (497 nucleotides) under uncultured bacterium. RNAcentral's name for it is "partial 16S ribosomal RNA". It matches the Rfam family "Bacterial small subunit ribosomal RNA", at positions 28 to 507 of the family's 1533-position model. The record is from RNAcentral.
GAUGAACGCUGGCGGCGUGCCUAAUACAUGCAAGUCGAGCGAACAGACGAGGAGCUUGCUCCUCUGACGUUAGCGGCGGACGGGUGAGUAAAACGUGGAUAACCUCCCUAUAAGACUGGGAUAACUUCGGGAAACCGGAGCUAAUACCGGAUAAUAUAUUGAACCGCAUGGUUUAAUAGUGAAAGACGGUUUUGCUGUCACUUAUAGAUGGAUCCGCGCCGCAUUAGCUAGUUGGUAAGGUAACGGCUUACCAAGGCAACGAUGCGUAGCCGACCUGAGAGGGUGAUCGGCCACACUGGAACUGAGAAACGGUCCAGACUCCUACGGGAGGCAGCAGUAGGGAAUCUUCCGCAAUGGGCGAAAGCCUGACGGAGCAACGCCGCGUGAGUGAUGAAGGUCUUCGGAUCGUAAAACUCUGUUAUUAGGGAAGAACAAAUGUGUAAGUAACUAUGCACGUCUUGACGGUACCUAAUCAGAAAGCCACGGCUAACUACGUG